CGGAUUCUGAGACACCCUGGCUUUAA
This 26-nucleotide non-coding RNA is filed under the name Cricetulus griseus (Chinese hamster). Lineage: Eukaryota; Metazoa; Chordata; Mammalia; Rodentia; Cricetidae. The record is from RNAcentral.